CCCCUGGCCAGAUGUGUUGCAUAACUGGUGUGAUUUAACAAGAAAACACACACACACACACACACACACACACCACCAUCCAACAACCGUUUCCAGUAUCAGCCCCUGUCCUCUCUCUCUCUCUCUCUACUUCCAUUACAGGAGAGUUAUUCCCCAACAGUGGGCUACAUUCAUCUGAGAAUGCUGCUGUGGGGUGAGGAAUUUGGACAUGACCACAAAGGCUUCAUUAUUCUGCUGCUGUGCGUUUGAAGAUACUAGAGGAGAGGCAGGAGUAGAGAGUUAGGCAAGGAGAGGCAUGAGAGGAGAGGUAGGAGAGUUGAAGGAGGAGAGGUAGGAGAGUUGAAGGGGGAGAGGUAGGAGAGUUGAGGGAGGAGAGGUAGGAGAGUUGAGGGAGGAGAGGUAAGAGAGUUGAGGGAGGAGAGGUAAGAGAGGAAAGGUAGGAGAGGUAGGAGGGGAAAGGUAAGAUAGGAGAGGUAGGAGAGUUGAGGGAGGAGAGAUAGGAGAGGAAAGGUAGGAGAGGAGAGGUAGGAAAGGCAUGAGAGGAGAAGUAGGAGAGUUGAGGGAGGAGAGUUGAUGGAGGAGAGAUAGGAGAGUUGAUGGAAUAGAGAUAGCAGAGAUGAGGUAGGAGAGUUGAGGGAGGAGAGGUAGGAGAGAAAAGGUAAGGGAGGAGAGGUAGGAGAGUUGAAGGAGGAGAGGCAUGAGAGGAGAGGGAGGAGAGGCAUGAGAGGAGAGGGAGGAGAGGAGAGGGAGGAGAGGUAGAUGAGGAGUGGUAGGAGAGUUGAGAGAGGAGAGGUAGGAAAGGCAUGAGAGAAGAGGUAGGAGAGCUGAGGGAGGAGAGCUGAUGGAGGAGAGAUAAGGGAGUUGAGGGAGGAGAGGCAGGAGAAGAGAGGUAGGAGAGGAAUGAGAGGAGAGGUAGGAGAGUUGAGGGAGGAGAGGUAGGAGAGUUGAGUGAGGAGAGGUGAGGGAGGAGAGGUAGGAGAGGAAAGGUAGGAGAGGAGAGGUAGGAGAGUUGAUGGAGGAGAGGUAGAAGAGUUGAGGGAGGAAAGGUAGGAGAGG
RNAcentral lists this long non-coding RNA (1056 nucleotides) under Salmo salar (Atlantic salmon). Its description in RNAcentral is "lncRNA (ENSSSAG00000088011.1)". Lineage: Eukaryota; Metazoa; Chordata; Actinopteri; Salmoniformes; Salmonidae. The record is from RNAcentral.